GCCUGAGAAACGGCUACCACAUCCAAGGAAGGCAGCAGGCACGCAAAUUACCCACUCCCGGCACGGGGAGGUAGUGACAAAAAAUAACGAUGCGGGACUCUUUUGAGGCCCCGUAAUCGGAAUGAGUACACUUUAAAUCCUUUAACGAUAAUCAAUUAGAGGGCAAGUCUGGUGCCAGCAGCCGCGGUAAUUCCAGCUCUAAUAGCGUAUAUUAAAGUUGUUGCGGUUAAAAAGCUCGUAGUUGGUUCUGCGUGCCACGCUGUCGGUUCGCCGCCUGACGGUGUAACUGGCAUGUCGUGGCAUGUCCUGUCGGUGGCGAACUAGGGUCACGCUCGUUUUCCCCACUUGGGCUUGUCCCUUGUGUGUGGAGCGGUGUGAUCACUCGGUUCGCCGGCUCUAUCCUGCCGCGGUGCUUUUAACCAAGUGUCGAGGUAGGCCGACACGUUUACUUUGAACAAAUUAGAGUGCUCAAAGCAGGCUUAAAUCUCUGCCUGAAUAGUGGUGCAUGGAAUAAUGGAACAGGACCUUGGUUCUAUUCUGUUGGUCUCCGGAACACAAGGUAAUGAUCAAUGUGGACAGGCGGGGGCAUUCGUAUUGCGACGUUAGAGGUGAAAUUCUUGGAUCGUCGCAAGACGCACUAGA
RNAcentral lists this ribosomal RNA (642 nucleotides) under Tingis sp. UNSW ENT 00050651. RNAcentral describes it as "SSU rRNA". It matches the Rfam family "Eukaryotic small subunit ribosomal RNA", at positions 394 to 944 of the family's 1831-position model. RNAcentral also lists the same sequence under 3 other names. The record is from RNAcentral. Lineage: Eukaryota; Metazoa; Arthropoda; Insecta; Hemiptera; Tingidae.